CCGUGGAGCAGUCGGUUGCGCCCCCUCCUCCCCAGGCUCUCCCCAGCCAGAGACCCCCGGUUCCCCAGCUGAAGGCCGUCCGGAGGGGACCCCAGGCCGCGCAAUUGUAGGGGUCGCUCUCGGACAGCAGCGAACCUCCGCGCACCAACUUCUCGCGAGGUUUCGAGCCCCCCUCCACCGCCCCGUCCGCCCUCUCCUAGCUCCGGUGCGGGCAGCUCCCGCUAUGGCUGCGCUGCGGAGGCUUCUGCGGCCGCCGCCGCCUCGGCUCCCGCCUCCGCCCUCGUCUCCCCAUCCCUUCCCUGGGCCGUGCGGGCGGCCUACGGGCAUAGCCCCGGGCCCUCCCGGCCGGCCCUUCUUCUGCCGGGAGGAGGAGGAGGGGGCUGUGGCUGAGGCGGCUCGGAGGCGGCGGCGGCGCUGGGGGGAGCUGAGCAUCGCAGCCGCGGCCGGCGGGGGUCUGGUCGGCCUGGUGUGCUACCAGCUGUAUGGGGACCCCAGGGCCGACUCGGCGCGGGCGCCGGCCCCCUGGCUCCCCUCCAAGAGCGCGGCCGCAGAGCCGGAGGAACCGCCCCGCGGCCGGGGGCUGCUUCCCAUCCCGGUCGCCGCUGCCAAGGAGACGGUUGCUGUUGGCAGAACAGACAUUGAAGACCUAGAUCUCUAUGCAACAUCUCGGGAAAGGCGAUUUCGUUUGUUUGCUUCUGUAGAAUGUGAAGGGCAGUUAUUCAUGACUCCAUAUGAUUUUAUUUUGGCUGUUACAACAGAUGAGCCCAAAUUUGCUAAAACAUGGAAGUCACUUUCCAAGCAGGAAUUAAAUCAAAUGCUAUCAGAAACACCACCAGUUUGGAAAGGAUCAUCAAAGCUAUUUCGAAAUCUUAAAGAAAGAGGUGUGAUUUCUUACACAGAAUAUCUUUUUCUUUUAUGUAUUUUAACAAAGCCACAUGCAGGUUUUAGAAUAGCUUUCAACAUGUUUGACACCGAUGGCAAUGAGAUGGUGGAUAAAAAGGAGUUUUUGGUGCUUCAAGAAAUAUUCAGGAAAAAAAAUGAAAAGAGAGAAACUAAAGGAGAUGAAGAAAAGCGUGCAAUGCUGCGUCUUCAACUUUAUGGAUACCAUUCUCCUACUAAUAGUGUACUUAAAACAGAUGCUGAGGAACUUGUCUCCAGAAGCUAUUGGGAUACACUGAGACGUAAUACAAGCCAAGCACUCUUUUCAGACCUCGCAGAGCGUGCUGAUGACAUUACAAACUUAGUAACAGAUACUACACUUCUUGUACACUUUUUCGGAAAGAAAGGAAAAGCUGAGCUCAACUUUGAAGAUUUUUAUAGAUUCAUGGAUAACCUCCAAACAGAAGUUCUAGAAAUAGAAUUCCUUUCCUACUCUAAUGGGAUGAAUACUAUCAGUGAAGAAGAUUUUGCUCAUAUUCUUUUACGAUACACAAAUGUGGAAAAUACAUCAGUAUUUUUGGAAAAUGUGCGUUAUAAUAUACCUGAAGAAAAGGGCAUUACAUUUGAUGAAUUCAGGUCAUUUUUCCAGUUUUUGAACAACCUAGAAGACUUUGCAAUAGCCUUGAAUAUGUAUAAUUUUGCAAGUCGCUCUAUAGGGCAAGAUGAAUUUAAACGUGCCGUCUAUGUAGCCACUGGCCUCAGACUUUCACCACAUUUAGUGAACACAGUCUUUAAGAUUUUUGAUGUUGACAAAGAUGAUCAAUUAAGCUAUAAAGAAUUCAUUGGAAUUAUGAAAGACAGACUCCAUAGAGGAUUCCGGGGUUAUAAAACAGUUCAGAAGUAUCCCACUUUCAAAUCCUGUCUGAAGAAGGAACUUCAUAGCAGAUAAGUACUUCUAAAGCAAAGUUUAAAGGAUUAUUAUCUACUUGAAAAUGCAGGAAGCAAAAACUUCAGAGGGCGGAAGAAGGUCUGAGAUCAGAACUUGUGUAAAUGAAGGAAAAGGUGUCUCAUAUUAGAGGUUUUUCUCAAAUAUCUGAUCACUUGUCCACCUCCCACUGAUUGAACCAACCAGAAUCCAGAGUGGAAAGAGUCUUCCAAUAAAAGGACAAAAGAGUGUCUUGAACCAGAGCCAGUGUGAGUUUCUACAAACCACUGGGCAAGACAUAUUAAUUCCACCUCCUCCCACAUCUGCCAUACAGAAAAUCCAGCAUGACUAAUCUAGCCUACAGCUUGACAGAAACAGAGCUGAAUAUAACCAAUUAUUCUUCUGGUCCCCCAGUUAUUAUCUGCUCAACCAACACAACAGAAAGCGUCCUGACAGCCACUGGAUGAAGACGGACGAUCCUGUGCUCAAAGACUGGAGUCAUCCCAGAAAAAGGCUGUAUCAAGCACUACUGGAUGAAAAGCUAAACCCAAGAUUUAGCUUUAUGGAUAUGAAUUUGAGUGAAGUAUUGUAAUAUGUUUCUCCCUGCAUAUCCCUUGAAAGUAAUUAUUUGUAUAUAAACCUCAGGUUGAAGAAUCUAUAGUGUGACCUCUUGUCCCUUUAGUAUGGCU
This is an RNA transcript of Physeter macrocephalus (sperm whale), 2493 nucleotides long. It is a transcript of the gene named mitochondrial calcium uptake family member 3, with no coding region annotated. NCBI's taxonomy places the organism in Eukaryota, Metazoa, Chordata, Mammalia, Artiodactyla, Physeteridae. The transcript is spliced from 18 exons. The record is from RefSeq and is a predicted model, not a curated record.